AGCUAAGCAGAUAAACGUCAACGUGAACCGCGUUAUCCGUCUUACACGCCUGAAACGUCGCUAUGACCCAGGAUACUCUCCAGAACUCGGACAGAGAGAUGAAAAUACCCCAACAGAUGCGGGGGCUUCGCUCCUUAACGCUGGCUAAGCCGAACUAACGUCCAGACCUUCACCUUCACCGCCUUUUUAUACCCUGCAAACGGAUGGAGGUCCUUGCGCAGGUGACUUUAAAGCAAAGGGCGUUCCCUUCAGCAGUCAGUCCUCCCUUUUCUCCUGGGAGAAACAGUAACCCGAUAACACUGACCUGAAAUAACACAGAGAGUGAGAUUAGUUUACCUCAGAGAUGAAGUAAAUACGCAGAAGCUGGUUAGCUAACCGCUUCAGUCGAAGAUGGGUGAGGUAACCGGCACGAGGAACGGCAUAAAAACAACACGGAACUAACCCUCAGAGCAAAAUUUCACUCAGAUUCAACAUUUCUGACAAAAACGCUGAAGUAAAAAUCGAUUAUAAGUGUUAAUACUGUCAAACCCACCAAUUCCCCCGCUUGUGCUAGUUACCUCACGAAGCUGAAGCGAGCUUCUUGUUCGAAUUUUCCCGUUCCACCUUAAACGCUGCCGCAGUUACAGCAGCAGCCGCCUCAGGCGCCAGUAUGUGACUGGUGCACUAUUUAAGGUGGAACGGGGAAAUUCGAACAAGAGGCUGGUGAACAGGAAGCCGACUUCAGCCGCGCUGCUACCCAAACCGAAGCCGGCCGGUUUCUACCGCUGAUGUUCGUUUAAUUUCGAACCGUCACUCCAAAAAAGAGGUAAAAACCGAUAAUAAUUUACCUUCAAAUGUUAAUCCGUGCACCAAAAUCCGCAGAGACGGUAGUAAAGGAUGGGAAGAUUAGAUAACAGAGGGGUUUCCUAUUCAGUCCCUCCUCAGUCGAGUCCCAGCCGGUGCCAACGAACUCAUGAAUAUUCAUGAGAGAACGCAUCAGCCCACAGCCGCUUGGCGUUCCAGAGCCAAUCAGGAACGAGUCUUUUGAUUACAGCAGACGCUCAGCGACCAAUCAGGUGUGGGGAAAGUAGACUUGGCUCGGAGCCAAAGGGAGAGUUCGUGGCCAAUGGUCUUCGCCCUCGUGAGGAGACCAAGCAUCAGUCACAGCAACACAACAAUGGAUCUAUACAGAGAAUCACAACAGCGUUAAGAUUUCCCUUCACUGGAACUAAGGCUUCUAGGCCAACCCCUGAAACAACCCCAUAUCAUCAUCCCUCCUCCACCAAACUUUACAAUUGGCACGGUGUAGUCAGACAGAAUGCAUUUCCACUGCUCCAGAGUCCAGCAUUGGCGUGAUUUACACCAAACCAUCCGAUGCUUGCCAUUGUGCAAUUUGAUCUUGGGCUUGUGUGAAGCCGCUCGGCCAUGGAAACCCAUUCCAUGAAGCUCCUAUUUGCUGAUGUUGCUUCCAGAGGCAAUUUGGAUCUCUUUAGUGAGAUAUUCAACAGAAGAUAGGCACUGCGCUUCGCUUGGUGGCUAAGCUGUUGUCGAUGCUUCCAUUUCACAAUAACAGCACUUACAGUUGUCUAGGGCAGAUCUAGCCAGACAGAUAAUUCACACAUUAUAUAGUGUGUGUGUGUGUGUGAGUAUAUGUAUCGUUGCUGUCGAAAGAAAUUUUAAAAAUGUUCCACAAAAAAUAUACUUUGACAAAUGAAACCUCAUAAAUCUAAUCAUUG
Long non-coding RNA from Pygocentrus nattereri (red-bellied piranha), 1715 nucleotides. Lineage: Eukaryota; Metazoa; Chordata; Actinopteri; Characiformes; Serrasalmidae. The record is from Ensembl.